UGGAAGUUAGCUCACUGGUAGAGCGAUUGGCUCAUAACCAAUUUGUCGCAGGUUCGAUUCCUGUACUUUCAACCA
Molecule: transfer RNA, 75 nt
Filed under: Planktothrix sp. FACHB-1355
Lineage: Bacteria; Bacillati; Cyanobacteriota; Cyanophyceae; Oscillatoriales; Microcoleaceae
Also listed under: 1 other name
Description: tRNA-Met
Rfam family: tRNA
About the family: Transfer RNA (tRNA) molecules are approximately 80 nucleotides in length. Their secondary structure includes four short double-helical elements and three loops (D, anti-codon, and T loops).
Source: RNAcentral